This 497-nucleotide ribosomal RNA is filed under the name uncultured bacterium. RNAcentral describes it as "partial 16S ribosomal RNA". It matches the Rfam family "Bacterial small subunit ribosomal RNA", at positions 28 to 507 of the family's 1533-position model. The record is from RNAcentral.
GACGAACGCUGGCGGCGUGCCUAAUACAUGCAAGUUGAGCGCUGAAGGUUGGUACUUGUACCAACUGGAUGAGCAGCGAACGGGUGAGUAACGCGUGGGGAAUCUGCCUUUGAGCGGGGGACAACAUUUGGAAACGAAUGCUAAUACCGCAUAAAAACUUUAAACACAAGUUUUAAGUUUGAAAGAUGCAAUUGCAUCACUCAAAGAUGAUCCCGCGUUGUAUUAGCUAGUUGGUGAGGUAAAGGCUCACCAAGGCGAUGAUACAUAGCCGACCUGAGAGGGUGAUCGGCCCCAUUGGGACUGGGACACGGCCCAAACUCCUACGGGAGGCAGCAGUAGGGAAUCUUCGGCAAUGGGCGAAAGUCUGACCGAGCAACGCCGCGUGAGUGAAGAAGGUUUUCGGAUCGUAAAACUCUGUUGGUAGAGAAGAACGUUGGUGAGAGUGGAAAGCUCAUCAAGUGACGGUAACUACCCAGAAAGGGACGGCUAACUACGUG